Molecule: ribosomal RNA, 303 nt
Filed under: uncultured bacterium
Lineage: Bacteria
Description: partial 16S ribosomal RNA
Rfam family: Bacterial small subunit ribosomal RNA
Source: RNAcentral
AGCAGUAGCCGCGGUAAUACGUAGGGUGCGAGCGUUAAUCGGAAUUACUGGGCGUAAAGCGUGCGCAGGCGGUUCGUUAAGACAGAUGUGAAAUCCCCGGGCUUAACCUGGGAACUGCAUUUGUGACUGGCGAGCUAGAGUAUGGCAGAGGGGGGUAGAAUUCCACGUGUAGCAGUGAAAUGCGUAGAGAUGUGGAGGAAUACCGAUGGCGAAGGCAGCCAUCUGGGACAACACUGACGCUGAGGCACGAAAGCGUGGGGAGCAAACAGGAUUAGAUACCCCUGUAGUCCCUGUCUCUUAUAC